AUGCACUGCCUUCUGCUUUUGCCUGACUUUAGACAGUUCCAUCUGGUGAAACGAUUUCCUUAUCGUUCUUCCUUCCCCCCUCUGUAUUUCAUAGGUUAUCAAGCCGCCAGAAACAGCGCUAGAGUGAAGGAAGCUGUUAAAAGAUGCAGCGCCGGGAGUCUUUUAAAGCCUGGUUCUUCUGGUGACUUGGCAGAGCUCAACCACGGAAGUCAGAGCGCUAUGGGCCGAAGACGGCCGAUAAAGGUCCAGACAUGAAGGAGACAGCGUCUCGUCUGUGGCAUCUCACAAUGAGAAGAGCUUUCAGCGUGUCGCGAGGUAAUUACUCUCCUCGAGGGAGGGCGAAAUCUGUUUAUUGUAAUUAUGUCAGAGAAAUGAAGAAGCAUGCUUGUGAGAUGCUCAAACAUUGUCUCAACAUAUUUGGGGGGAAAUUUUCCUGAGUUUCAUGUGUCUACAUAAUACCCCGACAUCACAUUCCCAGCCAGCUAUCGCAAUCACUUGUGUUUAGACCGUCAGAAUAAUGAGGUGCUAAUGCGUGCGCGCGCGUGUGUGCGUGCGUGCGUGCGUGUGUGCGUGUGUGCAUGUGCGUGUGUGCGUGUGUGUGUGUGUGUGUCUACCCUGAAGCCCAUGGCCCCAUACACUUGACGGCAACUGUUCCAUCCACACAAUAGAAAAAUAUCCUGCUUCUCUCCGUAACAACAGCCCUGCUGAAGUGGCGGGAUUAGAACAUGCCAUGGGAAAGAACCUCCCUUAUUCUGGAUCUGUUUUCCAUUUACCCCGCCGGUCGGGGAUCGAGGUUUUAUGUGCUUACACUAUCAAUGUUUGGCCCAUUAAUUCACAUCUACAAUUAUAAUGUCCAAUUAGAGGCCAGGGUUGGCUCGCCUUUGUGUUAUGAAGUCAGAGGGGGUUGGAAAACAGUGUAGUUUUAGACUGAAAGGAGCAUCGGUUUGUACUGCGAUUAUUUUAUGCCCUCAGGCUAAUGGGUUAAUAGCGAGUAGGUGAUAGUAGGGAAGUAGAGAUUGCUAAAAGAAAGGAAGGAGGGAGUCACAACAGGAACACAUGUAUUGAGGGAUUGGAACACAACAUGAAUGUAACGUUUGGUAGAGAAUUCAGAGCUCUAACAAAAAUAACCAUGGUUUUACUACAGUGGUCUAACUACGAUUUUUGUUGUAAAAUCACAAAUAUGGUCAUGGUUUCACUACAGUUAUCAUGGUCUAACUAUGAUUUUUCUAGAAAAACAGUAUUAGCUACAAAACUG
Cyprinus carpio (common carp) is the source of this 1255-nucleotide long non-coding RNA. The record is from Ensembl. Lineage: Eukaryota; Metazoa; Chordata; Actinopteri; Cypriniformes; Cyprinidae.